AUGAAGAACGUAGCGAAAUGCGAUAAGUAAUGUGAAUUGCAGAAUUCAGUGAAUCAUCGAAUCUUUGAACGCACAUUGCGCCCGCCAGUAUUCUGGCGGGCAUGCCUGUCCGAGCGCCAUUUCAACCCUCGAACCCCUCCGGGGGGUCGGCGUUGGGGAUCGGCACUUACCUGCCGGCCCCGAAAUACAGUGGCGGUCUCGCCGCAGCCUCUCCUGCGCAGUAGUUUGCACACUCGCACCGGGAGCGCGGCGCGUCCACGGCCGUAAAACAACCCAAACUUCUGAAAUGUUGACCUCGGAUCAGGUAGGAAUACCCGCUGAACUUAAGCAUAUCAAUAAGCGGAGGA
RNAcentral lists this unclassified non-coding RNA (347 nucleotides) under soil metagenome. RNAcentral's name for it is "partial contains 5.8S ribosomal RNA, internal transcribed spacer 2, and large subunit ribosomal RNA". The stretch from base 1 to 119 matches the Rfam family "5.8S ribosomal RNA", at positions 36 to 154 of the family's 154-position model. The record is from RNAcentral.